This is a long non-coding RNA of Drosophila miranda, 1551 nucleotides long. RefSeq lists it as uncharacterized. The record is from RefSeq and is a predicted model, not a curated record. The transcript has 4 exons. NCBI's taxonomy places the organism in Eukaryota, Metazoa, Arthropoda, Insecta, Diptera, Drosophilidae.
ACUGUACGGUGAGGCUUGUAGCUGCUGUGAGGAGGCCUAGGGUUUUUGGGGUCCGCCGAAAAUUAGGCACCGUCUAACGAGAGGCAAGACAAACUCUCUUUAACAGUCGGCAAAGAGGGCCUGGGAUCAAAGAGUGGGUCAGAGCCAGGUCAGACUUCCUCGUCGAAAGGAGAGCGAGUUCGAAGUCGAAGUCGGACAAGAUAAACGGCUAUAAAUAGAUGGCAUUGGACGCCAUUGCGGGAUUCCAAGCCUGGUCGACAGCAUUGGAUUUUGUUCUCCAAGUGUCCUCUAUAGUGUCAGCCGUAGUUGAAUAUUCAAAGAAAGGAAAAAGAGAAAAACCAUAUAAAUACAAUAACUAGUGAAAAGUAGCCAGGAAGUGAGACGGUGAUUAGUGAAACCUCUUCGAUACACCCUUUCGACGGGUCACCCGUUUGGGUCUUAAAUUGGAGGAGGCUCGUCUUCCACGACCGCCAGCUGAAAUUCGUAGAAAUUCGCCGGAGCUUUGGGUCGUCGCCUUGGAGCAGUUCGGCGAGCCAGAGAGGAGAGGCCAACUAGUGCCCGGCAGACGGCAGCCGCGUCGGCUUGUUCAUCGCUCCGCGUAUGCGUCCAUACCCCGUGCGCAUGGGAGGAGGCAAAGAAAAAAAAGUGUUCUUCAGUGGCGACAAAUAGUGGCAGAUCGAGUUAGAAAAUUUCUCAUAGAAGGCCAGCCCCGCCCAAAAUAACAAUAACAAAAAAAAAAAAGAAUCAAAUAUAAGAAACAAAUAACGGAUCGUAGUCAGAUGCUCUAAGCAUCAAUACCCGAGUUAUUUUAUUCUCCCUCUCAUUUAGGCUUCUUUAGCUCUCUAUCCCUAUCUAUCUCUCUCCACCUAACUUUGCGCUGCGGGCGAGCCCCCACAUACCGGUGCCCGAUAAGCGCCGCUAAUCUGCACAUAGGAAUGCAAGACUGAGCGCAGAGGAAUGGGCCCAAAUCGGAAGCGCUUCGUCGAUGGAGGUUCCUGUGUUGUGCUUUCCGUCCGGUUUCAUAUGGCUUAUUGACACGCAUUAAAUGUAGAAUAAUAAUAGGGUAGGCCUCAGCUUAGGAGCAAAUAAACAAGAACACCACACUCGUGGCCGACGAGCCAGUAGCCGGAAAAUUGACAGCGUGCCGCUUCAAGCUGAGAGGACCAUCUCGCCUACAUCGUGGUUGCACGUGACAUUAAUUAUUAUUUUUGGCGCCCAACGUGGGGCCUCACUGUUAGGUGGGAAUUAUUACAAUUUGUACUUAGGGGUGUGGUUCACGAACAAUGACCUAAAACAAACCUUCACUUUUAAAAUUUUCCUUCCAUCGACUGUUCGAUGUCUUUAUUGAAGACAAAGAAACGCAAAUCAUUUCCGCUUUCAUUCAGUUCUCUUACGGAUCUUUGGAACACCGAUAGAAAACUAAGCCCCAGGGUAUGUUUCCGGGCCACGAUUCUAAGGGUUCUGAGUGAGUUUGACUUAUUUCUGUACAAAUAGCCUGAUUGUCGUGAUUAAUAGGAAUACUACUAGAAUAGCUUUAAGAAGCUAUCUGUU